Molecule: non-coding RNA, 1270 nt
Organism: Arachis ipaensis
Lineage: Eukaryota; Viridiplantae; Streptophyta; Magnoliopsida; Fabales; Fabaceae
Source: RefSeq, a predicted model, not a curated record
AAAUAGAGAGAGAGAGGAGAGGGACCUCUGUGAAACCCUAAAAUCUCGAUGUCACUGCCGCCAUUCAUUUCCUUGCCACGGCCAUUCAUCUCCUUGCCACCGUCGUCUCCGAUCCUCCGUCAAAGCGUUGACGCUGGAGUUAUGAAUGGAGAUCGUGGAGCCUCUGAAUUUUCGUUGACCUCUCAGUGACGAUUUGAUUCAAAUUUUUGAGGUAAUGGUUUAAAUUUUCCGCUUCUACGUUGUCUUCCACCACAGGUUGUGCCGCUGGUUCUGCUUUUCCUCCGGCGGCUUGGAGCACUCAGAGUGCGGUUUCGGCAUGGAUUCGAUGGUGUGGUUUGGGCGCGAAUUCGGUAGUGCUAGCUGAGGAGAUCAAGAAGGCGAGCUAGUGAGUCUCUGUAAACUUCGAUUAAAGAUAUGUUCAAAGCUAUCAGAUCUCGUGAACUGAUUUUCAUGUCGUGUCGAGUUAUUACAAUGAGGAUUUGUUCCUAAUUUUUUCUUGUUCUUUGCUUUCUUCAAUUCUUCAAAUUUUUUCAAAGAUACUAGUUUUUGUGAUCAUUUGAUGAUAUAGUUUUGGCAAAGUUAUACACAAAUUCUGCUUCUUAUGUUCUAAUGACUUGAGGAUUCUACCAGAUGCAGGCCAAGAUCUUUAUAUUAGAAUUCCUGCUUCAGAGUUAGAUACAAAAAAUGGAGGCAAGGGCAAGAUAUGAAUUGCAGUUUGGGUCACAAUUGGCGUAUUAUGUGGCCUGCUCUUCGUUUCAUGUUUGAUAUGGAAUGGACGAAAAAAGGCCACUCUGAAAGCAUUGUUGGAAAUCCCCUUGUUUGUGCAAUUGGAAAAGAACCAAACUGCCGUGGCAUGAGUCAAUGUCCAUGAACUUAAAUGGCACUGAAGGUAAGAAUAAGAUCUCUCAAGAGUUUCAUCUUUUUUCGAAUUAAUUGUGAAAUUGUGUCAUUAUUUUUAUGCUGACAUAAAUAAUGGAUGUCUCUGCCUCAUAGUUCUCGAUUUUGGCCUUGUUCUUUGGUGGAAGCACAAGCACAAUCAAAAACCAUUCUUUGAUGAUAAAGGUACUUUCCAAUUAGCAUCAUAGUUACCAUUUUCUUCUUCUUUAAUACUAUAAUAGUUCCUUCAAUUCAUGUACAGCUAGGAGUCUGUUACUUAUCCACUGACUUCCCUCACGCCCACUUCUUAAGGGUUGAAGCGGAAGAGCAACCAGAGAUAUCCGAGGCUUAUUCCGUCUCUGCUGUCCCUUUCUUUGUCUUCUUCAAGAUAAUU